GGGGUUGUGGUUCAGUGGUAGAGCGCUCGCCUGGCAUGCACAAGGCACUGGGUUCGAUCCUCAGCACCACCU
RNAcentral lists this transfer RNA (72 nucleotides) under Ictidomys tridecemlineatus (thirteen-lined ground squirrel). RNAcentral's name for it is "Spermophilus tridecemlineatus (thirteen-lined ground squirrel) tRNA". It matches the Rfam family "tRNA". Rfam says of the family: Transfer RNA (tRNA) molecules are approximately 80 nucleotides in length. Their secondary structure includes four short double-helical elements and three loops (D, anti-codon, and T loops). The record is from Rfam by way of RNAcentral. Lineage: Eukaryota; Metazoa; Chordata; Mammalia; Rodentia; Sciuridae.